Molecule: ribosomal RNA, 497 nt
Filed under: uncultured bacterium
Lineage: Bacteria
Description: partial 16S ribosomal RNA
Rfam family: Bacterial small subunit ribosomal RNA
Source: RNAcentral
GAUGAACGCUGGCGGCGUGCCUAAUACAUGCAAGUCGAGCGAACAGACGAGGAGCUUGCUCCUCUGACGUUAGCGGCGGACGGGUGAGUAACACGUGGAUAACCUACCUAUAAUACUGGGAUAACUUCGGGAAACCGGAGCUAAUACCGGAUAAUAUAUUGAACCGCAUGGUUCAAUAGUGAAAGACGGUUUUGCUGUCACUUAUAGAUGGAUCCGCGCCGCAUUAGCUAGUUGGUAAGGUAACGGCUUACCAAGGCAACGAUGCGUAGCCGACCUGAGAGGGUGAUCGGCCACACUGGAACUGAGACACGGUCCAGACUCCUACGGGAGGCAGCAGUAGGGAAUCUUCCGCAAUGGGCGGAAGCCUGACGGAGCAACGCCGCGUGAGUGAUGAAGGUCUUCGGAUCGUAAAACUCUGUUAUUAGGGAAGAACAAAUGUGUAAGUAACUAUGCACGUCUUGACGGUACCUAAGCAGAAAGCCACGGCUAACUACGUG